UUUACCAACUGAGCCACCCAGGCGCCCCCAAUUUUAAUAGUAUUUUCAGAGAACUAAAUUUUUAAGUUUUGAGUUUAGUAUUUUCACAAUCAUUUAGUUUGAAUUACUUGCUCAUUUCCAUUCUGAUUUUUUUCUCAGAAGAGUAUUUCUUGAUUUCCAAACAUAAGGGAUUUUCUGUGUGUGUGUUCGGUAUUCAGUGUUAGCUUCAAUUGCACUGGGGUCAGAGAAUACCAUUCGUAUGAUUUAAGUUCUUCGAAAUUUGUUGAUGUGGCCCAGCGGUAGUCAACUUUUGAACAGGUGUAGGUGUGCUUAAAAGGAAUAUAUAUUCAGAAGUGUUUUGAUUUCAUUAAAAAAAUACUUUCAUUAAGACAAAUUUGUUAACUAAUGCUACUAGAUUAUAUGUUCCGAUUGACUCUUGUCUAUAAAUUACUGAAGUAUAUUACUUCUCCUACCACGGUUUAUUUUUCCUUCUAUUUUGUCAGUUUUUAUUUUCUGAGGUUGUUACUAGGGAAUACUACUUUUUAAUGGUUUUAUCUUUGUGAUGGAUUGAACCUUCUACCAUUUUAAAAUACCCCUCUUUCUCUCUGAAAAUGCAGUUUUAUUUUAGUGUCUGCUUUGCUUGAUAUUAAUAUAGAUGAACUGGCUUUCCUUUGGUGUUUGCACAGUGUGUAUAUUUUGACUUUUUACUUGCAAGUUUGGAUUUGUCUCUUGAAGACCGCAUACACUAGCAGCAAACACCAUUGUGGGAACACCCAUGUGAGUGCGUCAUUGGGGAAAUGCCUGUGAGGGACACGGGGAGGGACAGGGAAAGGGCCGUGGGGAGCCUGGGAGCAUUGUCAGCCCGGGGAAGGCGUGACCUGUGGAUGGAGGGAAGGAGGGCGUCUGGCGCAGUUUUAUGCAGAGUUGUGCAUUCGUUACCACAGUUCAGUCUGAAGCCAUUUUCGUCAUCCUCCGAAGAGUCCUCCCACGUGAUUACAGCUGCACCCCGUUUCUACCCCUCACACCAGGCAACCACCAGCCUAUGUCACUGGAUGGAUCUGCACUUUCUGGACAUUUAAUCCUACCACAUGGGGUCUUUUGCGCUGGAGUCUCCGAAUACGGUUGGAGGCUCCCCGUGUUGUAGCAUCUACUGGGACUCGCUCCGUUUCGGUUACCUGCUUGCAAAUGAUUGGGCUUUGGGUUAUUCCCACUGUUUCACCGUCAUGAAUCACGUUGCUGCGAACGGCCUCGUGCUGCUUGAACAGCAGUCUUCGCGUGGACACGGUUUCAUUGCUCCGGGCUCUACACCCAACAUGGAGCUCAAACUUGUGACCCUGAGAUCAAGAGUCGCUGGCCCUACUGAGUGAGCCAGAGAGCACGAGUGAGCAAGCACACAAGCAGGGGGAGCAGCA
Molecule: long non-coding RNA, 1391 nt
Organism: Ailuropoda melanoleuca (giant panda)
Lineage: Eukaryota; Metazoa; Chordata; Mammalia; Carnivora; Ursidae
Exons: 3
Source: RefSeq, a predicted model, not a curated record